ACAAUGUGAGAUACCUAGGAAGCUUUGCUGUAAUCCUGAAUCUUUAGACUUUUCUAGGAGACUUGGGGAUCACAAGAUCAAAACAGAGACCUUCACACUCAAGUUUUUAAGAUAGAGAAAAGUUCCUUGAGCAAAUGCAAGAAACACCAAAAACAAUCCAUUGAUACACUUGGUGACAUUAAUUGAGAAAAAAACAAUAUGGUCUGGCCAUGGAGGCAUGAUAUCCGUAACAUCCCCCAAAGGAGCUAAAGAAGAAAUCCACAAUUUACCAUGAGCAUUUCUCGUCUGAUGAUUGCCAAGCGAUUCCUCCAGGGCAUUCCUCAAGAUCAAUUUCUGUUCAUCCACCUUGUCCUGGGAGGGACAUCAAUGGGUUUCCAUGUCCUUUGGCUCCUGGUUGAGUUCACUCAGUGGAGAACCCUGGCAAGAGGCAGGAAAAGGGAAGGAAAGUGAAAACCAUCCAUUUCUUGGAGAAGUGCCACUGUGGGGUUGCAAGUCCCAGGAUCAAGAUUUCGAUGUGUCUCUUUUUCCCGUAAAGUGGCUGAAAUCUGAAGCUGAAUCUGCAAGUGUCAUGGAGUCAUUGAAUCUCACAGUCUCAACUGAUAAAAGUUAUUAAAGGUAAAAAUGGUGCUACCCUUGGAAAUCCAAGAGCAGCUUCAAGAGUCAACUACACUAGCAAUCCCUAAAGCUGGAGAAUUUAUGCCCAUGGAAAAGUCUGUAGCGUUUUGCAAACCAU
RNAcentral lists this long non-coding RNA (733 nucleotides) under Pongo abelii (Sumatran orangutan). Its description in RNAcentral is "lincRNA". Lineage: Eukaryota; Metazoa; Chordata; Mammalia; Primates; Hominidae. The record is from RNAcentral.